This 1458-nucleotide ribosomal RNA is filed under the name uncultured organism. RNAcentral describes it as "16S ribosomal RNA". It matches the Rfam family "Bacterial small subunit ribosomal RNA". The record is from RNAcentral.
GCGGCGUGCCUAAUACAUGCAAGUCGAGCGAACGGACGAGAAGCUUGCUUCUCUGAUGUUAGCGGCGGACGGGUGAGUAACACGUGGAUAACCUACCUAUAAGACUGGGAUAACUUCGGGAAACCGGAGCUAAUACCGGAUAAUAUUUUGAACCGCAUGGUUCAAAAGUGAAAGACGGUCUUGCUGUCACUUAUAGAUGGAUCCGCGCUGCAUUAGCUAGUUGGUAAGGUAACGGCUUACCAAGGCAACGAUGCAUAGCCGACCUGAGAGGGUGAUCGGCCACACUGGAACUGAGACACGGUCCAGACUCCUACGGGAGGCAGCAGUAGGGAAUCUUCCGCAAUGGGCGAAAGCCUGACGGAGCAACGCCGCGUGAGUGAUGAAGGUCUUCGGAUCGUAAAACUCUGUUAUUAGGGAAGAACAUAUGUGUAAGUAACUGUGCACAUCUUGACGGUACCUAAUCAGAAAGCCACGGCUAACUACGUGCCAGCAGCCGCGGUAAUACGUAGGUGGCAAGCGUUAUCCGGAAUUAUUGGGCGUAAAGCGCGCGUAGGCGGUUUUUUAAGUCUGAUGUGAAAGCCCACGGCUCAACCGUGGAGGGUCAUUGGAAACUGGAAAACUUGAGUGCAGAAGAGGAAAGUGGAAUUCCAUGUGUAGCGGUGAAAUGCGCAGAGAUAUGGAGGAACACCAGUGGCGAAGGCGACUUUCUGGUCUGUAACUGACGCUGAUGUGCGAAAGCGUGGGGAUCAAACAGGAUUAGAUACCCUGGUAGUCCACGCCAUAAACGAUGAGUGCUAAGUGUUAGGGGGUUUCCGCCCCUUAGUGCUGCAGCUAACGCAUUAAGCACUCCGCCUGGGGAGUACGACCGCAAGGUUGAAACUCAAAGGAAUUGACGGGGACCCGCACAAGCGGUGGAGCAUGUGGUUUAAUUCGAAGCAACGCGAAGAACCUUACCAAAUCUUGACAUCCUUUGACAGCUCUAGAGAUAGAGCCUUCCCCUUCGGGGGACAAAGUGACAGGUGGUGCAUGGUUGUCGUCAGCUCGUGUCGUGAGAUGUUGGGUUAAGUCCCGCAACGAGCGCAACCCUUAAGCUUAGUUGCCAUCAUUAAGUUGGGCACUCUAAGUUGACUGCCGGUGACAAACCGGAGGAAGGUGGGGAUGACGUCAAAUCAUCAUGCCCCUUAUGAUUUGGGCUACACACGUGCUACAAUGGACAAUACAAAGGGCAGCGAAACCGCGAGGUCAAGCAAAUCCCAUAAAGUUGUUCUCAGUUCGGAUUGUAGUCUGCAACUCGACUACAUGAAGCUGGAAUCGCUAGUAAUCGUAGAUCAGCAUGCUACGGUGAAUACGUUCCCGGGUCUUGUACACACCGCCCGUCACACCACGAGAGUUUGUAACACCCGAAGCCGGUGGAGUAACCUUUUAGGAGCUAGCCGUCGAAGGUGGGACAAAUGAUUG